CAAUCAUGCAUGUACUGACGGUGUCUCUUUUGUGAAGUUUUGCAAGCAAUUUCUUAAUAAUAUGAAUGAACUUGCAAACGGUACUGGCUGUGUAGAUCAGGAAAUCUCCAGUCUAGAUCUGCUGCCACCUUUCCACAAGAUUGUCAUACGGGGACGAAUUUGGCAUUUAUUAUAUAAUUUUAUGCUGGCUUAUUGUGGCCUCCGACCGAUUUUAAAAUUUUGCAUGGAAAGACUGUUAGGUCACUUCAUAGAAAAGAAGCCGAAUAAUCCGUAUCAUGAGCAGUUCCCACCAAAUCCACAUGUCCCUAACUCACCCAUACCGAGUCGACUGAACGUAAAGGUCUUCACUGAGAGCGAAACGAAGAAUAUUAUUCAAGCGUGUAAAGCAAAUAAUUGCACAGUAACUGGAGCUAUCACAGCUGCGGCACAUUUAGCCUUUUGUGAACUUAUACAAGACGACAAAUCGAAAAAUAUGAAGUUCGAGUCCCUCUUUGCUAUCAAUGGUCGACGAUUCUGUGAUCCAAAACCGCACGACGAUUACCUGGGAUAUUUUGUGUAUGACAUGCAGGAAUUUUACAUGAAGUAUGUAGCAGGCAGUGGUGUUGAAUUUUGGAAGUUAGCUCAAGAAACUACUCAGCAAAUAAAAGAAUUCGUGGGGAAAGAAGCGUAUGUCGUUGAAGCCACG
This is a non-coding RNA of Paramuricea clavata, 685 nucleotides long. Lineage: Eukaryota; Metazoa; Cnidaria; Anthozoa; Malacalcyonacea; Plexauridae. The record is from the annotation of a GenBank genome assembly.